GGUAUAUAUCUACUUUCUCUUCAUCUUCAAACAGGCAGAAUCAAGCUCAUGGAAUUUUCAUUAGAAACAGCAUCUGCCCUCAGCUUUCUCAUCAAUCUACUCCUUCAAAUCCCUCUCUGGCACUGGAAUUACAUGGUACUGAUUGGAUUCAGACAAAGUUUUGUUUGAGAUAUCCUGAGCCGCCUGUUUCAAGUCAGUCAAAACAUUCCAGACUUCAAAAGAAGUCUUUGCCUUCUUGGGCCGUUUUGGUGUCCCUCUAUGGCUGGCCGAGGAGGGAUUGGUUAUUUGGAUAAAUUAAUUUGUGGAGCCUGCUGGCCUUCUCCAAGACCUCAAUGUCUGACUGCAAAUUAGUUCUACUCAACAUGAAGAAAUCCCUGGACAGACUAGAAGAAAUAAAUGGUGAUAAAAUCUAAUACUACAAUGUUUGUAAUGUGAUUUUAUUCUGCUAUGGAGCUUGUAAGAGAGUUAAUGUCGAAUUAAAUUUUUUUUUUUAAUUUAAAAAAAAAGGGGCCAUGAAAGCAGAAAAUCAGAUCAGUAUCCAAGUCACAGCAGAGAAGGCUAAAAGCCAACUUCAGAGUAAGACUUCCAGCAGGAAUCUUUUAUAAGAACAAACAAAAUUGCCCUGGUUUUUCAACAAAAUCAGCUAGGUAUUUACAUUUCGGAUACAUCUCCCUUCCCCCAUCCCCUCCCCUUAAGACAGGAAGUCACACAGUUGAAUUCAGCUUGAACUGAGGCUGUGAAUAAACUGCUAAAGCAGUCCUUUAAGGCCUGGCUGAGCAAGUGCCUAAGGAUUGCUUAUCCUUAAGGAAGAAAAGUCUUGGAGCCAAAACUAACAAACAUGGCCCCUCAAGCGGAACAAUGGUCCAGAAAACUCAGCAAAAAGGAAAAUAAACUUCAUUGGCAGUUUGUUUUUGACUGUUAAGAGCCCAGCUACAACUCUAUCAAGAUUUUUCAGAAGGAACCCUGAAGGUAGAUACUAUUAUUAUCCCUAUUUUGAAGAUAAGAAAAAAAAGAGACUGAAGUGACAUCUCCAAGGUAACAAAACAAAUUUAUGAAUAUGGCAGAUGUCUUUCUAAUCUCGACAUCAGUACCUGGUCUCUGCUAAGUAGACAAGCAGGAAAACUACUCUAUUCUGAUUAAACUUAGAGUAAAAUAUCCUAAUAUGUCAAACAAAAAAAGGCCUUCAUGUAGCUGAGGAAGAAAAAUUGAGCAAUUCUCAUCUCAAAAUGAGGAGCAUGGAAAAAUUACUCUACUUAUAACAAAUUUAUUAGAAGAAGCAUGGAUUGCCCAUUUCCUUUUUGAAUUCUUUCUUUAGGUGGUUUGUCUUUCUAUGGUUUAAAGAACUCACAGGCAAAGCAAUAUUUCUUUGCCUAAUUUCUUUCCUUGUAAUGUUUGAUAAAGGCAUCUUAGGGUGUACACAGACCCUCGGAGAAUCAGGGUAGGAUUAUCCUUUUUUUUAGCUUAAUAUUUUUCCCAAUAUACUUAUCUAAAAAUCAAAAUGAAUGAUCACUUUAAUUCUGCCUUUUGCUCUUGUGAGAAUCAAUGAGUAGAUAAUCUAAUCAGUCUAUCAAUGAAUAUUUAUUAAGCAUCUAUUAAAUAUGCCAGCCAUUUGGUGAUUCCUCUCCCCUCAGAUUUGGGAGCUAGAAAGUAGAGCAUAAAACUUCUGCCCAAAGCUUCCUUUUACAGAGAGCUGGAAUCUGGACUUUCCAUAAGCAGCUCUAUUUGACUUCAACUCCACAGAACAUGAUAUCUGUGGCAGAUACCUUCAGAUAUCUCCCUUACUUUCCAGCUUGCUUUUUUGUGUUGUCUUCUCCCAUUAGGUUGUUAGCUCCUUGAAGGCAAGCCGGAACUAUCUUUCUUUUUCUUGUUUGUAUCCACAGACCUCUGCACAGUGUCUAGCACAUAGCAGGUGCUUAGCAAAUGUUUAUUUAAUUAAAUGAAUUCAGAGACAAAAACAAAACUGUCUCUGACCUCAACAAGCUUACAUCUACAAGAAGAGAACAUAUAAAUAAAUGCAAAAAUACAAAAUAAUUGUUUUGGGACAUACUGGUAUCUGAGAGGGAUCAGAAAAGACUUCAUGUAUAAGAUGAAUCUUUGAGCUAAGCUUUGAAGGAAACUUCUAAGAAGCAAUGAGGAGGAGGGAACGAAUUCCAGGAAGUGGUGGAAAUCUGAAUAAAGACUGAAUAAAGAGGAAGAAAAUGGGAUCUUAUGUGUGAGGAACAACAAAAAGACUUCUGUUUGGAUUGUGGAGAGUAUGAGGGGAAGAAAUAUAAAUCAAAUAUAGAAAGGUAACUUGGAACAAGGUUGAUAAAUUCUUUAAUGUCUAAAGAGUUUGUAUUUAACUUGAGGAUUAAUAGAGAGUCAUUUAAAUUUGUUGAGUAGUGCAGUGGCAUGAUCCUAUCUAUGAUCUCAAGGAUGUCCCAUCCUUGAGAGACUGGAUGCAGGGAAAAUCAGAAGACUAUUUCAGUAGUUGAAGAAAGAUCAUGAAAGCAUUAGAGGCACCUCUUCCAUACUGCCCCUGGAGUUGCAAGGACUUCUUUCCACAGAAUCACAUAAUAUCCCCAUCUAGCCCAACUAAUAUUUAAAUAAGAAUCCUCUUUAUUGUGUCUGACAAGUGAUCAUCUAUUUUUUCCUUGAAGACAUGGAGGUCUUAUUUCAUCUAAGAUGAAAUUCCUCAUCUUCCUUCUUAAUUAGGCCAUUUGACUAAUUAGUACUAAUUGUUAAAAGCUUUCCUAUUUACCUUUGUACUUUCUGCCUAUUGCUUUUAGGUCUGUAUUAUGUGGCUUCACAGAAUAAAUUGAAUCCCUCUCCCGGGUGACAGCACUUCAAAUGUUCAAAGAUGACUAUCAUGUCCAUCUGAAAUCUUUUCUUCCUCAUGCUAAACAUUCCUAAUUCCUUUGAUCAAUCCUCAUAUACCAUGAACUGAGCCUCUUAAGACUUAUUGCCUUCCCCUUGAUUCUUUCUAUCUUAUCCGUGGUCUUCCUAAAAUAUGGCUCCCAGAAUUGAAUUCAACACUACAGGUGUAAUCUGAUUUGGGCAGAGAAUAUCAGACCUAUUAUCUCCCUAGUUCUAAACAUUUUGCUUCUCUUCUGUGUCUGUUAUGUCAUGGUAACAUGUUGAACAUCCAGUCCACUAAAACCUCUAUGUCAUUUUCAGACAAAUUGACUUCUAUUCCCUCAUCUUAUCAAGUAUUAGACUUGAAGUCAGGAAUCUAAAUUCUGAUUGUACCUCCAACACUUACUAGUUGUAUGGUUAAGCUAGGUCCUUCACUGGACUUCUCUAAACUUGUUUUCUAAUAUGUUACUAAUGGUACUAAUAAGGAUCAUGAAGGUCAAAAUAAUAAUGUAUGUCAAAGACUCUACAAACCUUAAAACACUAUAUAAAUACUAGAUAUUAUUACUAUUACAACUCCUUCUCCUCUUCCACCCCUUCCACCACUACCACUACUACCACCACCACCACUACCACCACUACUGCUGCUGCUUUCAACUUAUGAAAUAGAUUUUUAAAGCUAAGAUUUUAGAUAUAUUCCCAUUUAACCCAAUCUUGUUAAAUUUUGACCAAUAUUCUAGCUUUUUGACAUCAUUUUAGCAUGCCACUCUUUUAUCUAAAUUUAUCAAUAAAGACUCUUACUCUUGUUAAUAAGGGAUUAUGUAAUGAUUCCCUUCCCCCUAAAAAAUACCAUUUAGAUCUUAAAAGUUUCCAAAAAAUGCUAGUGAACCAUCACAAACCUAUACAAAGAGCCCAUUUGGAUGAUUAAGAACACUUGCUUUUCCUAUCCAAAUCAGAGACUCUGAGGAGAGAGAUGUCCAUUAAGGAACCUCAUUGCCUCCUUUUCUAAACCAGUGCUUGAAGGUCCUCCCCACAUAUACACAAGCUUUGAAGUUUUUUGUAAUACAGACCUCCAUCUAUGAAGUAAAUAUGGAGAUUUCAGGAUUUGAUGACUCACAAAAAGAUUCAGGGGCAUCUAGGAGGCAGAAUGGAUAGAGCACUGUGUUAGGAAUCAAGAAGACUCAUAUUUCUGAGUUCAGAUCUGGUUAUUAGCUGUGGGACUGGGCAAGUCACUUCACUUUGUUUUCCUCAUCUAUAAAAUGAGCUGGAGAAGGAAAUGGCAAACCAGUUCAGUACCUUUGCCAAGAAAACCCCAAAUGGGGUCAUGAACUGUCAGAUAUGACUGAAACAACUGAACAACAAAAGAUUCAGAGAACCAUAAUAAAAACAAAACCAAGUCAGUAUAAGAAACCAACAAUGGAAGAACUUCCAAGGAACUUUUAAAAAAAUAAUUUCCAUGCAAGAAGAGGCCUGGAGUUUUCUCACCAUGUCUUCUUAUUGCUCAUGUACUUGUGUAAAGUGGCAAGGAGUUUACCAAGUAUUUUAUAGAAUAAAAAUGCUAGCUUCUAAUUAACUCAAUUAGUAGGAAUAAAUGUAAAGAUAAGCCUCUGAAAGCACAGGCAUUUCAUUAUCCUGAAGCCCAAGACAGGAAACAAAGAAGCAAGAAGUAAGAGGUUAAGGUUAUUGUCAACAGAGCUGUCCUCAGUGUCAAGAAGACCUGAGUAACUUAACCUUUCAGGGAACCAAUAAACUCUCUAAAACAACAACUAAAGCAAUAGCUAAUAUGUCUAGCACUUACUGUCUGUUUGGCUAAAUGCAAAGCACUUUUCAAAUAUGAUCUAAUUUGAUCCUUAUAACAACCUGAAGAGGUAGGUAUUAUUGUCAUUCCCAUUUUGUAGAUUAAGAAACUGAGGCAAUAAAGUUUAAGUGAGAAACAGAACAGAUGUUAAUCUUCAUUGAUAGAGGGAGUUUCCUCAUCAGAAUUUCUCUAUAUGAAUGAGAUGACUGCAAUCCAAAAAAGGACUAGGGAGGACAAAGGGGGUAGAGAUAGCCAGAAUGUCUUCAAAACCAAGAUUGAACUUGAAAGUCUGGAGAAUGUCCAUGAAAUGCUAUUCUUAUUCUUGAUUGCUCCAUUGGUGUUCUUUUUUUCAUGAUUCUUUUCAAGCUUUAUUGCUAAUUCUCCUUUCAUGUCUACCCUUAUUCUCAUUGUGCCUAAAGAAAAUUGGGAAUAUCUCAUCAGAAAGCAUAUUUAGAAACCAAAAGAGUUUAACUAGGAUAAAGGAUCUAUUUCUGCACAGCUAGGUUCCAGUUAGAUUAUAUGCCACCUAGACCAGAGAAGGUGGAAAGCAAGAUGCCAAUUACAACACCUUCAUUGCAACAUAAGAGAGCUUUCCUGGAGACUCUUCUUUUAUUUUUCUGUGUAGAUUGAAUAUAGCCAAAUAUCUCCCCAGAACAAAACUACAUCAUUACAUUUGUUAUAAUUAGAUGCAUAAUUAAAUUGUGGUAGAAAGAAUGUCAACAGAGAAAUGUGUGACUGGGGGGAAAUGGACCAAUCAAGUAAUAAACACUAAUGGAUAGCUUGCAUGCUUCAUUGGUAUUCACACAAUAUUAAAAGAAUAUGAAGAAGGUGUCCAGACAUUGGCCAGUCCCAAUAUAGCAGCCUGAACAAGCAUCACACAAGAUGAAAAAGCAAUGACGGGUUACAAUGAGAAACACUGACAGUAUUACCCACACCAAUGAAAUCAAUUGGAAAUCAUCAAAUAUGAGGGGAAAGUGCCUUCUAUGUUUUAGGCACUCUUAGGUACUAAAUAUACAAAUAUAGAAGUGAAACAUUUCCAGUCCUCAAAGAACGUGCAUCCUACUGGAUCACAGAUCCACUGGAAAUAAAAUAGUCUUUUAUGUAGACUUCAUUUUUAUAUGUGAUUCUUUCUUCAUUCAUAAUGAUCUCUGUAAUUUUAUCAUUAAUUUUCCUUUUAACUUUAAUGAUUUAGUUUUUAUUUUUUAUGUUAAGUGUACAUGAGAUAUAUGCAUUUUCAAGCAGAAUGAUUUAUGAACAAUUAUCAAUAUGUUUAAAACUGGUAUUACUUAAAAUCAUCAAAGAGUUCUGAAUCUGAAGUCAAAAAGGACUACUUUGAAUGCUAACUCUGCCACUCUUUGUCUGCAGGAUGUUGGACAGACACUUAAAUUUCCCGGGACCUCAGUUUCCUCAUCAAAAAAUGAGAGAGUUGUAUUAUGAGGACUGCAAAGUCCCUUUUCAUUCUAAAUUUAUGAUUCUAUACAUGUUAAUAUCUGUGAUAGUUACACAAAACUGGGGCAAAAAAGACAAGAAUAAAAACAAAUGAAAUAAAAUGACUUUUGAAUAACAA
Monodelphis domestica (gray short-tailed opossum) is the source of this 6197-nucleotide non-coding RNA. The record is from RefSeq and is a predicted model, not a curated record. NCBI's taxonomy places the organism in Eukaryota, Metazoa, Chordata, Mammalia, Didelphimorphia, Didelphidae.